CCGCAGUGGGCGAGGCAGGAGCCAGCGUGGUGCAAGGGUGUGGGCGGGCGCCUGGACAAGGACGUGGUCUCUUUCAGAACCGCCAUAUUGCCCACCCCAACCUCCCCGCCCCCUUUCCUGCUGCAAAUUCACAAUGGAGCCUGUGCCCUCAGCGUGCCCUGCUCUGGCCACUGUCCCCAAUCGGGCUCCCAGAUUCCUCCUGCCUGCCCUUCCCCAACCAUCCCCUGCUGGGGGCAGGGGCGACAGGCCACAGGAUGUCAGUGGUAGAAAACUGUGCUGCCUGGAGGGCUGGGUGGGGUUUGCGCCAGGAGACAUUGAUCCCUGGAGGCAGUCUCUCAGGGCGGGGUCCAAGUGGUCCUUGGUCCUGGCUGGCAGGCAGGACCCGUCCAUCAGCUGGGAUGCUGUGACUUUCAGCCCUGCCUGGGGGUGAUGGCCUCCCCAGCAUCCAUAGCUUUCCCUAGAAGGGGAUCUGCUGGGCUCACCCUCCUGGUUCAGUGCCCUUCCCGGCUUUGCAGUCUGUCGCCAUAAUAUGGCCGAUGCUCUGCAGAUUUCCAAGCCCCUCUGCAGCAGCUGCUGGAGGAACAGGGGCUUGUGCCUAUAGGACUCCUCCACUGUCUGACCACAAUGGCCACUGUUCCAAGGACAUGACAGGGAGAAAAGGGCCAUCCUUCUUGAUAUUUAGGAUGCUAGGCCAUCAUGUGGUUUGUUUUUUUCUCCCCAGUUUUGGGAGGUCAUCAGUGAUGAGCAUGGGAUCGACCCCACUGGCAGUUACCAUGGAGACAGUGACUUGCAGCUGGAGAGAAUCAAUGUGUACUACAAUGAAGCUGCUGGUAACAAAUACGUACCUCGGGCCAUCCUGGUGGAUCUGGAGCCAGGCACCAUGGACUCGGUCAGGUCUGGACCAUUUGGCCAGAUCUUCAGGCCAGGCAACUUCGUGUUCGAAGCUGCCUGAUGUUGCCUGCCACCUGGACAUCUCCACAACGUGGUAGCAGCUCCUUCAAGCCCAGCAGGAGAGUGUCUCUACUGCUUCAAAAUUCUGAUGUCUUCUUCUACUACCAGCUGGAAAAAAUUCUUUGCUUCAAAGGAGUUCAUGUGAUUAGAGGAGGCCCACCCACAUAAUCUCCCUAUUUUAAGGUCAGCUGACUGGAAUCUUAAUUAUAUGUGCAAAAUCCCUUCACAGUAGUACCUAGAUUAGUGUUUGAAUAACUGGGGAAAGGUUGUGUACACCCCAGGGCCAGGUGGCUCUCAGGGCUGUGUUAGAAUUCUGCCCUCUCCAAAUGGACAGUUUGGGGAAUGGAAAGCACAUUGUCUUUGAAACGUCUGGUUCUGACAUUUGAAUCUAUGUUCACAGAGUAAAUGAUGUUUCUACUUACUAGUUGUAUGGCCUUAGGCAAGUAUUCAUUCUCUCUGAGCCUUAGCUUCUUUUUCCAGAAAGUGAUCAUAACAGUAUGUACUUCGGAGGGUUAUUGUAAGGAUUAAAUGAAAUGACAUAUGUAUAGUACUUGUCACACAAUAGUGCAACAGUUGGUGCUGCAGUGAGCAUCCUACUAAGGCAGGUAGGUGUUCAAGGACAGGCUAUAUGACUUCUUGCUAGGAAUUCGGCAAAGAGGGGGCAGAGACCAAGAUAGAUUUAUUUUGGAAUUUCUUUUAAUUUUAGAAAAUAUGAUUUUCAGAUCCCCUUUGGCCACAGAAGUCUAUGGAUCAAUGUGAAUGUUCUUGGAAAAGCUAAUAUACUUAUCAAAAUAAGACCUUAAUUGACUCAUAUUAAAUGUUUUUUUGGUACAGAUUUUCAUAAAGGGAUAGAGCUUGUGUGCUCAAAUUUCAGGAAGAGUAGCAAGAGGUGAUAAAAAGAAUUAAAAGGGAAAUUUAACCACCCUUACAAUUUUACUUAGGACUGGUCCCAAUUCAGUAAGUUAAAUUUGCAACUACAGGUGGCUAUAGUGGAAAUUGCUAGCUUAGGCUGGGCUCUGAGUAGCAACAUAAGAUUUUUUGAGGCAGCCCUGCAGGGUUGAGGGCCCAUUCUAACUUUCCUUCUACAUGUACUUCCUGUUUUCCUUGUCUUGCUUUUCCAUCACUUCCUUUCAAUUCCAAAUUAAGAUUGGACAGCAGGUUCUGGUCCCAGCAUCUCAUCAGACUUGACAGUUCAUUUAUUGACUCAGCUCCUAAUCUUGCUGGGCCCUUUCCCUCUCUUACUAUUCCUGUACUCAGUGUAUAGUGGGCUUUCCCCACUAUGGAAAGCCUCAGCCUGUGCACUAUGUUCAGCUUCAUUUCUCCAAUAUCAGUAUUGGCAUCUCAACAGGAUCCAAAUGCCUCAUUCAUUGCAAAACUAUCCAAUCUUAAAAGUCAUCUGUGAAUCAACACAGUAUUCCCUGAGUUAACAGAAAUUUGACUCUGAAACACCCAGUACAUAGUUGUGUCUGGUUGCACAUUGCUCCUCUAUCCUAAAACUCACCCAAAGGCCUAACCCUCCCCUAGUCCCCCAACACACACAGAGCAACAAAGCUGUGCUUGGCCAGUGCACCCCCUGCUGGCCAGUGAGGGGAAAUGACUGGUCCAAGACCUCUCCUCCCCUUUCAUUUUCACCAAGGUAGUUGUGCACACAAUGUGCCCCUCCCUUUCCUCUUUCAACAUUCUCAGCUCUUGUUAAAUCUCUCUCAGAGGAUGCCUUUCCCAACAUAUUUGUCCCCAUACCUCCUUCUUUCUUCUGGUUAUCAAAAGAAUCUAAUUAUUUCAUGUUUACACUAAUUGUAAUAUUUUUAUGUUAUGAUAUAAAAGUUAAGUUACAUGUGACUAAUUGACUGCUAUGUUUGGUAGGUAUGCAAUUAAACAUUUAUGAAUAUUA
Long non-coding RNA from Felis catus (domestic cat), 2842 nucleotides. RefSeq lists it as uncharacterized. NCBI's taxonomy places the organism in Eukaryota, Metazoa, Chordata, Mammalia, Carnivora, Felidae. The transcript has 3 exons. The record is from RefSeq and is a predicted model, not a curated record.